Molecule: ribosomal RNA, 496 nt
Filed under: uncultured bacterium
Lineage: Bacteria
Description: partial 16S ribosomal RNA
Rfam family: Bacterial small subunit ribosomal RNA
Source: RNAcentral
GAUGAACGCUGGCGGCGUGCCUAAUACAUGCAAGUCGAGCGAACAGACGAGGAGCUUGCUCCUCUGACGUUAGCGGCGGACGGGUGAGUAACACGUGGAUAACCUACCUAUAAGACUGGGAUAACUUCGGGAAACCGGAGCUAAUACCGGAUAAUAUAUUGAACCGCAUGGUUCAAUAGUGAAAGACGGUUUUGCUGUCACUUAUAGAUGGAUCCGCGCCGCAUUAGCUAGUUGGUAAGGUAACGGCUUACCAAGGCAACGAUGCGUAGCCGACCUGAGAGGGGGUACGGCCACACUGAAACUGAGACACGGCCAGACUCCUACGGGAGGCAGCAGUAGGGAAUCUUCCGCAAUGGGCGAAAGCCUGACGGAGCAACGCCGCGUGAGUGAUGAAGGUCUUCGGAUCGUAAAACUCUGUUAUUAGGGAAGAACAAAUGUGUAAGUAACUAUGCACGUCUUGACGGUACCUAAUCAGAAAGCCACGGCUAACUACGUG